UUUCAGUAACAAGCAGCCACAGCAAUGACCAUAGGAGUCUCAGAUCAUUAAGCAAUGUCUCACCGUGAUGUCAUGCAUUGAUGUACAGAGUUGUAAUCCUUUCAAAACAGACAGAUUGUCAGUGUGAUAAAGUGGAUAUAAACAAGCUUCUGAACAGGGAUGACUAAAGCUUUGGAAAAAUUCAUUGGCCUGAAAAAGGAGGAAAAAGGGUCCUAACACCACAGUACCAACCCGGCUAGAAUAACCAAAAGUCUGGGGACAUUUGCUAUCAAGGCUUUGGUUGGGACUAUCUCGAAAACUUUCACCAGCUAUCUCAUGAAACCAGCAGUACUCCAUUUGAAUCAACCAGGAAAAAAAAUGGAAAUCAAAGCAAACAGAUAGGAUUUCCAGUCCAACGAGGGUCCCAACUCAGACUUUGGCCUACUGAGCCCCCUACAACUGAUGAGUGACCUCUGCAGACCACAGCAGGAAUAAGAAUGAUCCAGGACAACCUGAGUUACUAAGACAUGAGGUAAAGCUGGCACCAAGAUGUCUAGCCUGGAGGAAGCUAUGGAAAAGCGAAGGGGUUUUCCUUUUUCAACAGGAAACAAAGCCUGAGGUUUUGUAAUGGUGCUUGGUGAGGAUAGCUACCUGAAGAGAGUGGCAGCAUUGUCUAACACUUGAGCAACACAGCAGGAGGCAGAUUUACAAGUCAAGAUUUGUCCCUACCACUCCUCUUGGCCAAGUCACUGAUACUCUUCAUGCUUCAGUCUACUCACCUGCAAAAGAAGUAAUGCCCACCUUUAUAAGGUGCUUUGCGAUUCAAAGUAGGUGCUAUAUAAAAAGUACUAAUUUAUUUUAAUUAUUAAAUCGUAAGUGGUUCUUUUACAGACUACGCCAUAUAACAUAUGAUACUCACUUACAGAAAAACCAUAUAAUAUAGUACAACUACAUCUACUAUAUGCGAAACUUAGCAACUCAGCUGUUCUGUAGUUAAAACCUCUUUAGCUUUGUUCAUUUGUUUUUCAACUUUAAUGGUAUUUCAACAAAUGCUAUUAAAUUGCAGGAUUUUUGCUACGAACAGAAAUGAAAAAUGUAUAAUAAAUAAUACCACUUAAUGUGUCAAAUGCCCUUACCAUGAUGUUGACAUUAUAAUCUUAUAGGCUUGCACUAAUAUCAUUUCAUUUUGCCUUUCUUAUAGUCUUCAUCAAUUUGUGUUGAUAAUGUUUCAUUUUGACAUCAUAAUAGUGUCUCCAUGGAUUCAGGGUGACAUUGUGUUUUGACAUCAUGUUAAAAAAAUAUCACGUCAUUGUCACCAUAAUAUUGUCUCUAUUGGAUUUGCAUGAUAUUAUUUUAUUUUGAUAUCCUUUGUAAGGAGGAUUUUCAGCCCAUUAAAAUGGGUGGUAAAAUAGGACAAUUACUAACAAAGUUAUGAAAAUGUUCUGCAUAGUUGUUGUUGGGUUUUGUUGCUGCUGCUGUUGAAACUUGCAUAUUCAAAAUACAGUAAGGAAUUGGCUCUGUAUGGGGCUGAUCUUCAGCUGGUAUCAAGUGUCAUAGCUCUGUCAAUGGGUCUAUGACAAUUCACUCCAUAUGACGAUCUGCUCCUAAGAGAAGGCAAAAUGUCUUUUGUUCGAGAGUUUGGUAAAAAUGUGUCUGGAUUUAUUCUCCCAUUUCAGAAAUUCACACAGGAGCUCCAACAGCAAAAAUAUCCUUGCAAAUCAGUUGUUUUCAGAAUGUCUAAACUGCAUGCUUCAUGCUUCUAUGUGUACUAACCAGAAAGUUUCUUCUGAAUAGCAUUAAAAAGAUGAGUUUUUG
Emys orbicularis (European pond turtle) is the source of this 1794-nucleotide long non-coding RNA. RefSeq lists it as uncharacterized. The transcript has 4 exons. The record is from RefSeq and is a predicted model, not a curated record. Lineage: Eukaryota; Metazoa; Chordata; Testudines; Emydidae.